Molecule: ribosomal RNA, 420 nt
Filed under: bacterium
Lineage: Bacteria
Description: partial 16S ribosomal RNA
Rfam family: Bacterial small subunit ribosomal RNA
Source: RNAcentral
UGGGGGAUAUUGCACAAUGGGCGAAAGCCUGAUGCAGCGACGCCGCGUGGGGGAUGAAGGCUUUCGGGUUGUAAACCUCUUUCGCUAUCGAACAAGGCCCGCUUAGGGUGGGUUGAGGGUAGGUGGAGAAGAAGCGCCGGCUAACUACGUGCCAGCAGCCGCGGUAAUACGUAGGGCGCGAGCGUUGUCCGGAAUUAUUGGGCGUAAAGGGCUUGUAGGCGGCUUGUUGCGCCUGCUGUGAAAACGCGGGGCUUAACUUCGCGCGUGCAGUGGGUACGGGCAGGCUUGAGUGUGGUAGGGGUGACUGGAAUUCCAGGUGUAGCGGUGGAAUGCGCAGAUAUCUGGAGGAGCACCGAUGGCGAAGGCGGGUCACUGGGCCAUUACUGACGCUGAGGAGCGAAAGCAUGGGUAGCGAACAGG